GAUGAACGCUGGCGGCGUGCCUAAUACAUGCAAGUCGAGCGAACGGACGAGAAGCUUGCUUCUCUGAUGUUAGUGGCGGACGGGCGAGUAACACGUGGAUAACCUACCUAUAAGACUGGGAUAACUUCGGGAAACCGGAGCUAAUACCGGAUAAUAUUUUGAACCGCAUGGUUCAAAAGUGAAAGACGGUCUUGCUGUCACUUAUAGAUGGAUCCGCGCUGCAUUAGCUAGUUGGUAAGGUAACGGCUUACCAAGGCAACGAUGCAUAGCCGACCUGAGAGGGUGAUCGGCCACACUGGAACUGAGACACGGUCCAGACUCCUACGGGAGGCAGCAGUAGGGAAUCUUCCGCAAUGGGCGAAAGCCUGACGGAGCAACGCCGCGUGAGUGAUGAAGGUCUUCGGAUCGUAAAACUCUGUUAUUAGGGAAGAACAUAUGUGUAAGUAACUGUGCACAUCUUGACGGUACCUAACCAGAAAGCCACGGCUAACUACGUGCCAGCAGCCGCGGUAAUACGUAGGUGGCAAGCGUUAUCCGGAAUUAUUGGGCGUAAAGCGCGCGUAGGCGGUUUUUUAAGUCUGAUGUGAAAGCCCACGGCUCAACCGUGGAGGGUCAUUGGAAACUGGAAAACUUGAGUGCAGAAGAGGAAAGUGGAAUUCCAUGUGUAGCGGUGAAAUGCGCAGAGAUAUGGAGGAACACCAGUGGCGAAGGCGACUUUCUGGUCUGUAACUGACGCUGAUGUGCGAAAGCGUGGGGAUCAAACAGGAUUAGAUACCCUGGUAGUCCACGCCGUAAACGAUGAGUGCUAAGUGUUAGGGGGUUUCCGCCCCUUAGUGCUGCAGCUAACGCAUUAAGCACUCCGCCUGGGGAGUACGACCGCAAGGUUGAAACUCAAAGGAAUUGACGGGGACCCGCACAAGCGGUGGAGCAUGUGGUUUAAUUCGAAGCAACGCGAAGAACCUUACCAAAUCUUGACAUCCUUUGACAACUCUAGAGAUAGAGCCUUCCCCUUCGGGGGACAAAGUGACAGGUGGUGCAUGGUUGUCGUCAGCUUGUGUCGUGAGAUGUUGGGUUAAGUCCCGCAACGAGCGCAACCCUUAAGCUUAGUUGCCAUCAUUAAGUUGGGCACUCUAAGUUGACUGCCGGUGACAAACCGGAGGAAGGUGGGGAUGACGUCAAAUCAUCAUGCCCCUUAUGAUUUGGGCUACACACGUGCUACAAUGGACAAUACAAAGGGCAGCGAAACCGCGAGGUCAAGCAAAUCCCAUAAAGUUGUUCUCAGUUCGGAUUGUAGUCUGCAACUCGACUACAUGAAGCUGGAAUCGCUAGUAGUCGUAGAUCAGCAUGCUACGGUGAAUACGUUCCCGGGUCU
This 1372-nucleotide ribosomal RNA is filed under the name uncultured bacterium. RNAcentral's name for it is "bacterial SSU rRNA". It matches the Rfam family "Bacterial small subunit ribosomal RNA", at positions 28 to 1381 of the family's 1533-position model. The record is from RNAcentral.